AUUGAACGCUGGCGGCAUGCCUAACACAUGCAAGUCGAACGGAAACGAUGGGAGCUUGCUCCCAGGCGUCGAGUGGCGGACGGGUGAGUAACGCAUAGGAAUCUGCCUCGUAGUGGGGAAUAACCUUGGGAAACCAAGACUAAUACCGCAUACCUUCCACGGAAGAAAGCUGGGGACCUUCGGGCCUGGCGCUACGAGAUGAGCCUAUGUCCGAUUAGC
RNAcentral lists this ribosomal RNA (219 nucleotides) under uncultured bacterium. RNAcentral's name for it is "partial 16S ribosomal RNA". It matches the Rfam family "Bacterial small subunit ribosomal RNA", at positions 30 to 245 of the family's 1533-position model. The record is from RNAcentral.